UUUCGACCUGAGCUCAGGCAAG
RNAcentral lists this ribosomal RNA (22 nucleotides) under Botryococcus braunii. RNAcentral describes it as "partial 28S ribosomal RNA". Lineage: Eukaryota; Viridiplantae; Chlorophyta; Trebouxiophyceae. The record is from RNAcentral.